Molecule: ribosomal RNA, 619 nt
Filed under: Chlamydia pecorum
Lineage: Bacteria; Pseudomonadati; Chlamydiota; Chlamydiia; Chlamydiales; Chlamydiaceae
Description: partial Domain I of the 23S ribosomal RNA
Rfam family: Bacterial large subunit ribosomal RNA
Source: RNAcentral
UACAGACCAAGUUAGUAAGAGCUAUUGGUGGAUGCCUUGGCAUUGAAAGGCGAUGAAGGAUGCGUUUACCUGCAUUAAUCUUCGGCGAGCUGGUAUAAAGCUAUGACCCGGAGGUUUCCGAAUGGGAAAACCCGAUAGAUUAAUAGUCUAUCAUUAUACGCUGAAUCCAUAGGCGUAUAAGGCGAAACCUACUGAACUGAAACAUCUUAGUAAGUAGAGGAAAAGAAAUCAAAGAGAUUCCCUGUGUAGCGGCGAGCGAAAGGGGAACAGUCUAAACCAUAUUUUUAAUAUGGGGUUGUAGGGUCGAUAACGUGAGAUCUUAAGUUUUAGUUGAAUAUUUCUGGAAAGUUGAACGAUACAGGGUGAUAGUCCCGUAAACGAAAAAACAAAAGACUCUAUUCGAUUCCUGAGUAGAACUAGACACGUGAAGCCUAGUUUGAAUCUGGGGAGACCACUCUCCAAGACUAAAUACUAAUCAAUGACCUAUAGUGAACCAGUCCUGUAAAGGAAAGGUGAAAAGAACCCUUGUUAAGGGAGUGAAAUAGAACCUGAAACCAGUAGCUUAUAAGCGGUCGAAGACCUAUAACUCUUCGGAGUGAUGGUUGACGGCGUGCCUUUU